This 390-nucleotide ribosomal RNA is filed under the name uncultured bacterium. RNAcentral describes it as "bacterial SSU rRNA". It matches the Rfam family "Bacterial small subunit ribosomal RNA", at positions 28 to 423 of the family's 1533-position model. The record is from RNAcentral.
GACGAACGCUGGCGGCGUGCUUAACACAUGCAAGUCGAACGGUAAGGCCCUUCGGGGUACACGAGUGGCGAACGGGUGAGUAACACGUGGGUGAUCUGCCCUGCACUUCGGGAUAAACCUGGGAAACUGGGUCUAAUACCGGAUAGGACUCCUGGCUUCAUGGUUGGGGGUGUAAAGCUUUUGCGGUGUGGGAUGGGCCCGCGGCCUAUCAGCUUGUUGGUGGGGUAAUGGCCUACCAAGGCGACGACGGGUAGCCGGCCUGAGAGGGCGACCGGCCACACUGGGACUGAGACACGGCCCAGACUCCUACGGGAGGCAGCAGUGGGAAUAUUGCACAAUGGGCGCAAGCCUGAUGCAGCGACGCCGCGUGGGGGAUGACGGCCUUCGGUU